AUCUGCCUCAUCCUGGGUCCAGAAAAAACAGUCAGUUAACCAUGGAAUGAGCCCCUAAAACCGUGCUGUUAUCAGGACCAGGUUGUCAAAAGCCAUUGAUGCUCAAAUACCAUCAAAUGGGGACCUCACACAGGAUCCAGGAAGGAGAUAGCUAAUCAACUUUAUGCUAAUACAUCACAGCGAAGGAUAGAUAUGUGCACCAGGAGAGCUCCAAGGAGAGUCACCCAACCCAACCAUGGCCUUUAGGAUUCUUCUUAAAAGAAAUGGAUCAUAAGUUGUGUGCAAGCUCCCAAGGGAGAAAAGAUGAAAUUGGGUGAAGAGACUCAGAGGACAUUAAAAUUCGAUGCCAAGCUGGAGAAAUGUCUCAGCAGUUAAGAGUAUCUGCUGCUCUUCCAGAAGACCUGUGUUCAGUUUCCAGCUCCCAGUGCAGUUGCACAUGCAAGGCUUAUACUCUCACGGACACACAUGCACAUGAGUGAAAAUAAAAUAAAUUAUAAAAAUCGAAACAGUAAACCUGAUCCCAACGACCCCA
Molecule: long non-coding RNA, 532 nt
Organism: Nannospalax galili (Upper Galilee mountains blind mole rat)
Lineage: Eukaryota; Metazoa; Chordata; Mammalia; Rodentia; Spalacidae
Exons: 4
Source: RefSeq, a predicted model, not a curated record